GCCACUCAGCUCCGCCCCUCGCCCCGUCCCCCCGAGGGAGGGCCGCCUCCUGAUUGGCCGCUCGAGCGCCAGGCAGGAUGGGAUUGGAAGCCAAAUAUGGGCGGGAGAAGAGGGGCCAGGCGCUGGGCCUCCGGGAGGGAGACGCAACCCGGGGGCUGGGAAAGGCCCGAGAGUGUUGUUUUGGAUUCCUAACGAAUUUCCAGUGAAAGAGAAAUGGAGAGACAAGACAUUUUCAGAUCAUGUCAAAUCUUGUACAUUAAAAUAAGGUAACCAGAAAUUAAAUAAGGACAUAUAACAUGCUCAGGAGUGCUAUGAAGAAACACCACAGUCAUGUGGACCUUUGUUUUUGUUUGCCUUCCUGUGUGUUGGAACUGCACUUCAACGUUCUAGAUAAAACCAGAGCCAUGAACUUGAACUGCGGUUUGCUUUUAAAGAUGUGUGUAUCAGUUAGGAAUGCUUUGGCUGGCAGUGAAAGGCAACUGACUAACAGCAGUUUCACAGAGACUAUUUUUCAUACAUUAAGAAAAGAUCUGGAUGGGCAAUUGCUGGUGUUGGCUCAACGCCUCAGUUUCUGGGCUGGCAUCUUCCAGACGCUUCUGACCUUUUCCUUCCAGUCACCAGUGAUUAAAACAGCUCCAGAAGAAAGAAUCUGCCGUGGAUUUUGUCAUUGUUGUUGCUGAGUAUCUGAGCUCAUUCUGGUUUUCAAGAAGUGAAACCAUGUAACAUUUGAAUCACUUCACCUGUGACCAGAUUUAGAAACAACGGCCACCAUAUACAUCUCCCAGCUUUGUUGUUUUUUGUGGUCUUGGGUUUCAGUCCUAGUUGCUGUAGAUUAAACUUGAUCAAAGUUUACAUGUACUAUGAGCCAAAGUUCAAUGACUUCUACUUCUGUGGCUGUCUGGAGGGUAUCACUUUGCUACAAAACACAAGAUGAUUAGUUCUGAAAUGUCAUGUCUUCUUGAAGCCCAGUUAGCGGGCUGCCUGAGAUCAUUUGUAGACUACCUCUCCAAGCUGACUGUCAGCAUGUUAAUUUUGCUCAAAUAAAGAGCACGUUUGCUCUCUGGGGGUUUUAUUC
RNAcentral lists this long non-coding RNA (1075 nucleotides) under Felis catus (domestic cat). Its description in RNAcentral is "lncRNA (ENSFCAG00000045316.2)". The record is from RNAcentral. Lineage: Eukaryota; Metazoa; Chordata; Mammalia; Carnivora; Felidae.